This 810-nucleotide ribosomal RNA is filed under the name uncultured bacterium. Its description in RNAcentral is "bacterial SSU rRNA". It matches the Rfam family "Bacterial small subunit ribosomal RNA", at positions 8 to 807 of the family's 1533-position model. The record is from RNAcentral.
AGAGUUUGAUCCUGGCUCAGAUUGAACGCUGGCGGCAUGCUUUACACAUGCAAGUCGGACGGCAGCACAGAGAAGCUUGCUUCUUGGGUGGCGAGUGGCGAACGGGUGAGUAACAUAUCGGAACGUACCGAGUAAUGGGGGAUAACUAAUCGAAAGAUUAGCUAAUACCGCAUAUUCUCUGAGGAGGAAAGCAGGGGACCUUCGGGCCUUGCGUUAUUCGAGCGGCCGAUAUCUGAUUAGCUAGUUGGUGGGGUAAAGGCCUACCAAGGCGACGAUCAGUAGCGGGUCUGAGAGGAUGAUUCGCCACACUGGGACUGAGACACGGCCCAGACUCCUACGGGAGGCAGCAGUGGGGAAUUUUGGACAAUGGGCGCAAGCCUGAUCCAGCCAUGCCGCGUGUCUGAAGAAGGCCUUCGGGUUGUAAAGGACUUUUGUCAGGGAAGAAAAGGCUGUCGCUAAUACCGACAGUUGAUGACGGUACCUGAAGAAUAAGCACCGGCUAACUACGUGCCAGCAGCCGCGGUAAUACGUAGGGUGCGAGCGUUAAUCGGAAUUACUGGGCGUAAAGCGAGCGCAGACGGUUACUUAAGCAGGAUGUGAAAUCCCCGGGCUUAACCUGGGAACUGCGUUCUGAACUGGGUGACUAGAGUGUGUCAGAGGGAGGUAGAAUUCCACGUGUAGCAGUGAAAUGCGUAGAGAUGUGGAGGAAUACCGAUGGCGAAGGCAGCCUCCUGGGAUGACACUGACGUUCAUGCUCGAAAGCGUGGGUAGCAAACAGGAUUAGAUACCCUGGUAGUCCACGCCCUAAAC